GACGAACGCUGGCGGCGCGCUUAACACAUGCAAGUCGAACGGAAAGGCCUGCUUUCCCUUGUGGAUUGCGGGUACUCGAGUGGCGAACGGGUGAGUAACACGUGAGUGAUCUGCCCCCAACUUGGGUAUAAGCCUGGGAAACUGGGUCUAAUUCCCGAUAGGACUGCAGGGUGGUGCCUGUGGUGGAAAACGAUUUUCUAGUGGUUGGGGAUGAGCUCGCGGCCUAUCAGCUUGUUGGUGGGGUAAUGGCCUACCAAGGCGGCGACGGGUAGCCGGCCUGAGAGCGUGGACGGCCACAUUGGGACUGAGAUACGGCCCAGACUCCUACGGGAGGCAGCAGUGGGGAAUCUUGCACACUGGGCGGAAGCCUGAUGCAGCGACGCCGCGUGGGGGAUGACGGCCUUCGGGUUGUAAACUCCUUUCGACCGCGAGGAAGCCACCUGGUUGGAAGGGUGGUGACGGUAGUGGUAGAAGAAGCACCGGCUAACUACGUG
RNAcentral lists this ribosomal RNA (494 nucleotides) under uncultured bacterium. RNAcentral describes it as "partial 16S ribosomal RNA". It matches the Rfam family "Bacterial small subunit ribosomal RNA", at positions 28 to 507 of the family's 1533-position model. The record is from RNAcentral.